Molecule: long non-coding RNA, 429 nt
Filed under: Mus caroli (Ryukyu mouse)
Lineage: Eukaryota; Metazoa; Chordata; Mammalia; Rodentia; Muridae
Description: lncRNA (MGP_CAROLIEiJ_G0005167.1)
Source: RNAcentral
ACGUGGGUGACUGGAGUUCCUGAUGAGGAAGUGAUAAAGAGAGAGCGAGCUAGGAGGGGCCGCCAUGCAGCAGCAAGCUGCACAUGCACAACUGGAGUUCAAAGAAAGACAGAUGACAUCGAGGCAAGACCUAGAAGCCAGCCAGGAAAGCAGAGGAACAGCGCGCUGGGUAAAGGAGCAAAGCAAACCAAACAAAACAAGACUGGAGAGUGAAUACACAGCUCUCAGCUCAAAGGGGAUCAGGAAACUCUGAGUACAGAUGUUGACGGAAGUUGACCUUCGACCAAAACCUGUGCAUUCAGAAAGUACCGACCACAGCUUCCUCCCUGCAGAUGACUGCAGCCCGACACUGCUCCCUCACAGAGACCACCUAUGGAGAUAAGCUGAGCCGUCUCUUCAUCCGUGCUGUAUAUCAUAAACACAUUGAGC